AUCGAGUUUAAAACUGGUUGGGAUGUCAGAUCUGAAUACACCACUUUCUAGGCAUUCCACAUGACCACCAAUGUAUGUCUCACUGUCAAGGAGUUGACUACCAUAAAACUUCUCUGGAUCAGACUGGUGCUUGUUUGGACAGAUAACAUUUGCCUUAUAAGCCUGAACCAUAAGAAGCAUUUCACACAAAGUCCCACUUCCUUUGCUCAAGACUUCAUCUGGCGGCAUGGGUAUUAUGGUUGCAAGGGAGAAAAUGAAGGGAUGAACA
This 268-nucleotide unclassified non-coding RNA is filed under the name Hevea brasiliensis (rubber tree). The record is from RNAcentral. Lineage: Eukaryota; Viridiplantae; Streptophyta; Magnoliopsida; Malpighiales; Euphorbiaceae.